UUAUUUUUUGAAAAAGUCAAAGUUCUGUCGAGACAGCGACGGGUACUCUACCCCUGUGGGAUGAAGCGACAGAGGUUUUGAGAAUUCACGAUGAGACGAGCCGUUCCAAGAAAUUAUAUCUUCUACUAAGACAUUUACCGAGGAAGUAGAAGUCCUUUUGAAAGAAGCUAUUCAGGAACAAAUGGAUCGAAAAUAAUAUUCCAAAGCUUUCGUAUGUUUUCCAUUACUUGUAUGGAUAAGACAGGAAUUCUCUACAAUGACACUGUAGAACAAUUGAAGGGAUGUGGUGCAGCCUGGUAACGCAUUUGUUUUGGGUACAAAAUGUCACGGGUUCCUUCCGAAAUACCCCAUACGAAAUACAAAGAUAAAAAAAGAAUAAAUUUUUUUGCUAGAUCCCUUAUUUCCCUGGGAUUGUAUCUCUUGUUUUUCAUUCCCAUUCCCAAAAGAAUGAAUACUAUGAUUCGCAUUUCGAACAGGCAUGAAUACAACAUCUAUAGGAUAACUUCUAUCUUGAAAGUCAUGUGGCACUUUGAUAAGUAAUGUAUUUAGUUUAAAGCCCUACGUGCUCUACUUCUGGAAGAUCUGCGAAUCCCUCCUGCUUAUAUUAAAACUUUCCAAGGCCUACCUUAUGGGAUCCAAUGAGCACUCUCAAUAUUAUGCCUUCAAGAGGACUCCAUUUUUUUAUAAUUUUAGAAUAAAGAUUGUAUUCUUGAACAACUUUCUGUUUAAAGUCUAAUUUUAGAUAGAAUGUGAUUCUGAUAGAUUCUAUUUUUAUCUUUCUUCAAUGGAAGGUAAGGGUCAAUUUUAUUGUAGAGCUGUAUGCAAUGCACCACGACGUGCAUUUUGUGUCAUUGCUCAUCGACCUACUUCGAUUUGUCUAGAUGUGAUCCAAGUAGGUUCAAGUGCCUGAAGAGCAUAUUUACCGAAACAAAUAUGAUUACCUCGAUAAGAUAUUCCCUUCAUUCUUUCUCUAUGUUAUUUACAAAAUCUAGUUCUUUUGGGGUUAUAGUUGAUGGUUGUUUCACAAUUCUAUCUUAAACCCAUGUUUGAAUUGAAACUGAGAUACUGAUGCAAGUUCUUCCCUUCUGAAUCAGAUAGAUUCAUAUCUGAAAGAGGUUGACAAUAUGUUCUAUCAAAAUUGACUAUUUGUCCCUUUGUUAGAGGUGUUCUAGAAAUGUCUGCUUGGAUUGGUAUUAGUCUAGAUACGGCAAAAUCAUUCUAUUAGAUCGAAUAAGAGGAUUAGCUGCCAAGGGGAUCUAUCCAAUAGUAGAUCCUUUAGAUUCAACAUCAACCAUGCUUCAACCUCGGAUGGAAUCCAACUGUUUAAUUAAAACAAGUAAUGCGAUGUCCCAACGGAUCCUCAUGCAAUGUGAUUUCUACCCAAUGCUCUGAAUGUCAAAGUUAAGAAAUUCAACCAAGUGCAUGUAAACAGUGGGAGUAACUAUGACUCUCUUAAGAUAGACAAAUGCUUCGUCAUCUAAUUAGUGACGCGCAUGAAUGGACUAACGAGAUUCCCAAUAUCCCUGUCUACUAUCCAGCGAAACCACAGCCAAGGAAAUGGGCUUGGUAGAAUCAGCGAGGAAAGAAGACCCUAUUGAGCUUGACUCUAGUCCGACUUUGUGAAAUGAGUUAAGAGGUGUGGGAUAGGUGGGAGCCGAAAGGCGAAAGUGAAAUACCACAACUUUUAACGUUAUUUUACUUAUUUCAUGAAUCGGAGGUAGGUCACUACCCCUCUUUUUGGAUCCAAGGCUCGCUUUGCAGGCUGAUCUAUGCAGAAGACAUUGUCAAGUAGGGAGUUUGGCUGGGGCUGCACAUCUGUUAAAAGAUAAUGCAGGUGUCCUAAGAUGAGCUCAACGAGAACAUAAAUUUCAUGUGGAAUAGAAUGGUAAAAGCUCGUUCGAUUCUGAUUUUACAACACAGAUACGAACCGUAAAAGUGUGGCCUAACGAUCUUUUAGACCUUUGGAAUUUGAAGCUAGAGGUGUCAGAAAAGUUACCAUGAGGAUAACUGGCUUGUGGUAUCCAAGCAUUUAUAGCGAUGUUGCUUUUUGAUCCUUCGAUGUUGGCUCUUCCUAUCAUUGUGAAGCAAAAUUCACCAAGUGUUGGAUUGUUCACCCACUAAUAGAGAACGUGAGCUGGGUUUAGACAAUCAUGACACAGGUUAGUUUUACCCUACUUAUGACAGUGUCAUAAUAGUAAUUCAACCUAGUGCGAGAGAAACCGUUGAUUUGCACAAUUGGUCAUCUUGCUUGGUUGAAAAGCCAGUGGUGUGAAGCUAUCGUGCUUGGAUUAUAACUAAAUGCCUCUAAGUUAAAAUUCGGGCUAGAAACGAUGUGUGCACCCGUCGUUUCCUUGCCGACCCGCAGUAGAGGCCUUACGGCCCCCAGGGGCACAUGUCGUUGGCUAAACCCUUGCAGCGGAUGUGCUGCAUUGGCUGCCUUAAAGUACAAUUUCCAUCGAGCGACAGAUAGAAUCCUUUACAGAUGACUUAAAUACACGACGGGGUAUUGUAAGCGGCAGAGUGGGCUUGCUGCCACAAUCCGCUGAGAUUCAGCCCUUUGUCACUCAGAUUCAUCCCUCCCCUUCUG
This 2587-nucleotide ribosomal RNA is filed under the name Olea europaea var. sylvestris. RNAcentral describes it as "eukaryotic LSU rRNA". The stretch from base 1184 to 2572 matches the Rfam family "Eukaryotic large subunit ribosomal RNA", at positions 1891 to 3399 of the family's 3401-position model. The record is from RNAcentral. Lineage: Eukaryota; Viridiplantae; Streptophyta; Magnoliopsida; Lamiales; Oleaceae.